RNAcentral lists this ribosomal RNA (392 nucleotides) under uncultured bacterium. Its description in RNAcentral is "partial 16S ribosomal RNA". It matches the Rfam family "Bacterial small subunit ribosomal RNA", at positions 523 to 918 of the family's 1533-position model. The record is from RNAcentral.
AUACGGAGGAUCCGAGCGUUAUCCGGAUUUAUUGGGUUUAAAGGGUGCGCAGGCGGCCAUUUAAGUCAGCGGUUAAAUCGUGGGGCUCAACCCCAUUCUGCCGUUGAUACUGGGUGGCUUGAUUGCGGUCGAGGUUGGCGGAAUUGGUUGUGUAGCGGUGAAAUGCAUAGAUAUGACGAAGAACACCGAUUGCGUAGGCAGCUGACCAGACCGCAAAUGACGCUCAUGCACGAAAGUGCGGGGAUCGAACAGGAUUAGAUACCCUGGUAGUCCGCACAGUAAACGAUGAAUACUUGUUUUCGGCGAUAUAAUGUCGGAGGCAAAGCGAAAGCGAUAAGUAUUCCACCUGGGGAGUACGCCGGCAACGGUGAAACUCAAAUGAAUUGACGGGG